RNAcentral lists this ribosomal RNA (253 nucleotides) under uncultured bacterium. RNAcentral describes it as "partial 16S ribosomal RNA". It matches the Rfam family "Bacterial small subunit ribosomal RNA", at positions 524 to 776 of the family's 1533-position model. The record is from RNAcentral.
UACGUAGGUGACAAGCGUUGUCCGGAUUUAUUGGGUUUAAAGGGUGCGUAGGCGGCCUAUUAAGUCAGUGCUGAAAUAUCCCGGCUUAACCGGGAGGGUGGCAUUGAUACUGAUGGGCUUGAGUAGAGUUGAGGUUGGCGGAAUUGACGGUGUAGCGGUGAAAUGCUUAGAUAUCGUCAAGAACACCUAUUGCGAAGGCAGCUAACUAAGCUCAAACUGACGCUGAGGCACGAAAGUGUGGGGAUCAAACAGG